This 327-nucleotide long non-coding RNA is filed under the name Musa acuminata (dwarf banana). RNAcentral describes it as "long non-coding RNA (MACU_LNC007045)". The record is from RNAcentral. Lineage: Eukaryota; Viridiplantae; Streptophyta; Magnoliopsida; Zingiberales; Musaceae.
UUUUUUGGUAAGUAAAAGUAAAUUGAUUAUGUGUAAAGUUUCUACAAAUAGCUUUAUCUAUACAAGUCAUAGACAAAGCCAAGUAACUCACAGAGUGCGAAUGCGAUAGUUAUGACUACACAUGCUGUAGACUAUAACUACCUGUGGGUACAUUAUUUGGCAUCAUUCCCAAGAUCUUUAGCUAAUAGCAAAAUUAAAUUUGAUAAAGAUAUCUUUUUCUCUUCGGGUGAAGUGCUCGGUUUUGAGAUCAUGCUCCAUACAGGAUCUUGAGUCUCUAAUAAUCUCUUUCAAGAGCUGAGCAUUGUUUGUGUGUUGACAUUCAAAGAU